GAGAGCACUAGGACGCCCAGUAUCGCUCCCUUCGCUCACCGAGCGCUGCUAGGCUGAGUUCCAAGUGAGGAAAGUGAUUUUCUCCUGAAAAUGCGAGAUGUUCCUUUGGGAUGGAGAAGGCUGGUUGUUGGGCUAGCAAGCUCGAGUUUUCUUGGUGUUGUAUUGUCUACAAGAGGAAUAAAGCCUGUGCCCCAAUGAAGAAUUAAAAAUGAUGUUUGACCAGGGCCACUGCUGAAUUCUCCUCGAAAGGCGUCUUGGGAUGAACACUCAUCACUUUGCAGACAUUUCUUGGGCUGCCAAUUAGAGCAUAAUAAAUAAUUAGAGGUUUUAAGCAUAUUAGAUACAGCUCAU
This 351-nucleotide long non-coding RNA is filed under the name Zosterops lateralis melanops. RNAcentral describes it as "lncRNA (ENSZLMG00000011862.1)". Lineage: Eukaryota; Metazoa; Chordata; Aves; Passeriformes; Zosteropidae. The record is from RNAcentral.